UGGCUGUACAGUCCAAACAAUUUUUAUUUUAUUUUAUUUUAUUUUUUGUGGAGAAACUACCGGAAAAUUUUUGUAGAAGAAAAAUCUAAUCAAUUUACCUSAAGAUAACCUUAUAAUAUAAUUCGUGCAGACUGAACAUUUGAAGCAAACCACUCAAAAUUAUACUUUUCCGGUAAUAUUAUAUUUAUUUGGUGUGUGUGGUCGUAUCUUGUGUGCAUGUGAGGAUUGUGAGACUAAUUUAUCUCCAUACAAAACAACAAAUACAACAGUAAAGAUGCAUGCAWGUGAUUUAUUUUGUAAGCUGAAGGUGUUUCUGGUAAGUCUCUAGCCUUCGUCCACAUCGUCCGACACGUUUAWGAUUUAAGAACUGUUGAUGGGUCGGAGGGGCUGUGAUUAACUUGAGAUGCUCUGGAAAGUUUGAGCAACAAGACUGCGAUGCUCAGGUGAGGAAACUGAAAGCAACGGUCUCUUACGUAGGACAUCGAACUGCCUCAGUGCGCACCGACGGUCUGAUACCAACAGAACCACAUCGUCUGCAAAGAGUUGAAACCAACAGCAAACUGGACUGAAGACGAGGGAUGACCCUGGUGGAGUCCUACCUGUAAGACCUGUUUCUUGGGUUGUACCGUGAUGGUUAACUCUACCCUUUAACAAGUUUCAGGAGGAUUUAAAGGUCCAGAAUCUGUUUUUAAUGUAUUUUUAACACUGUUUAAAAGCGGUGGUGUUGGGCUUUCAGGUUGCAGUAAAACCCACCUGAUUAGAAACACUCAGACUUUGAGAGGGAAACGUAAACAGUUGGCUGAGUGCACAGCUGUCCGCUCUGAGCUUCGGUCAACACUUCUUAUCAAAUCAAAUCAACGUGUUUGAUUUCUCUCCAGGACUUUUAUUUCCCUCCACUCAACGGUGCAGGGGGUUGAUUUUGUUUUACACUUAGAAUUUUAUCAAGUAACCACGAAAUUGUGAGCUUAUUUGUACAUUAGAGUGAGUUUAAAAUCCAAAAAGGCGUUGUGCAAUCGUGUCGGUUUAUUUAGGGUAUUUUUAUCUGUUUGUUGUUAGACGAGCCGUCUCGCUUUUGUUUUUGUGGCUUUGUGGCUCUGGUCUGCUGUCUGAAUGUUUACGUCACGCUCGGAGCACCCAUCACAAUGAUUCAUGAGUCCCUCCUGGUGCUGGAGGUGGCAAACGCUGGUAUUUCUGGGACAGACGCACGCUGGCUGCUGCUGCUCUUAUUGUUCCAUUUUUUUUUCAACAUUUUUUGGCUGUUUUCAGAGCAGGAGGCGUCGUGUUCCAGAUUUAAUCUGUCGAUGUAGAUUUUAUUUUCUGAAAGUGAAGUUUUAAAGUUUGGACUUAACAUCAGCUGUAGGUUUGUAAGGAUUUGAGCUGUCAUAUUCACUGUUUAUGCUGAUGUAUGUGCGCCUGCAGAGCCUGAACUGGAGGCAGUUUAAGUGGGUAAAUGGAUCUUACUUCCUCUGCACAGUUUCCACCACUGAGUCAAUAAACCCAAAUAAAAGCUGUGAAGCACCAAAAUAGCUACACUUGAGUUAAUGCUCCCUCCUCUUUAUUAGUAUAAUGUGUCUCUGCAGGAGUCCCUGUCAGACCGUCGGUCUGGAAAACCCACUGAAGCACCCUGCAGGCCUGACCGGGACGACCCGAGUCCAAACAAAACAGGAAGUGCUGACGUUAUGGAGGCUGGUUUUGGUCUGACCGGACCGGUGACCCCGUUCCCCGCCUCGCUGCUGCGGUUCUGUCCCCACACGAAACGCGCCUCAUAUUCAAGGGAAAACCCGCUGUAGACUCACCAGACCCGGCUGUGAGCAGAGACGAACCCCGGUGGUGAAAUGUGGAUCAGGUGGAGGAAAAGUUGUCGGCUCCUCGGAUCAGAUGCUGCGUCUUCACGGWCGGAUCCAGGCAGCUGGAUGAGUCCUGCUGGGACGAACCGACCUGCAGCUCUGACUCAGAUGAAUGGAUCCUGAAAACACCGGGUCUGUGGAAAUAUACGGAGCGGAGCUGYAGGAGUUAUAGGCUGCUGCUGUGUGCCGCUGCACAGAAACACAGAGGGACGACGACAUCUGGUGGCUGGAAGCUGUAUGACAGGCUGAAGGAAAACUUGAGUUCUUAGUCAGAACUUAGACCAUUGUUUCUGUGGAGCCCAGCCGGUGACAUUGUAUAAUCAAAAUAAUGCAUGGCCACAAAAUAAUUUAUGCAAUCAUUUCAAUGCAGAGACUGGUAAUUGUAAACAUGGGCAAUUUUGAAUAAAUAUAUUUUAUUUUAUUGUUA
Long non-coding RNA from Austrofundulus limnaeus, 2274 nucleotides. RefSeq lists it as uncharacterized. The transcript is spliced from 2 exons. Lineage: Eukaryota; Metazoa; Chordata; Actinopteri; Cyprinodontiformes; Rivulidae. The record is from RefSeq and is a predicted model, not a curated record.